UGGGGAAUAUUGCACAAUGGGCGCAAGCCUGAUGCAGCAACGCCGCGUGAACGAUGAAGGUCUUCGGAUCGUAAAGUUCUGUUGCAGGGGAAGAUAAUGACGGUACCCUGUGAGGAAGCCCCGGCUAAUUCCGUGCCAGCAGCCGCGGUAAUACGGAAGGUUCGGGCGUUAUCCGGAUUUAUUGGGUUUAAAGGGAGCGUAGGCCGUUUGGUAAGCGUGUUGUGAAAUGUAGGAGCUCAACUUCUAGAUUGCAGCGCGAACUGUCAGACUUGAGUGCGCACAACGUAGGCGGAAUUCAUGGUGUAGCGGUGAAAUGCUUAGAUAUCAUGAAGAACUCCGAUUGCGAAGGCAGCUUACGGGAGCGCAACUGACGCUGAAGCUCGAAGGUGCGGGUAUCGAACAGGA
Molecule: ribosomal RNA, 405 nt
Filed under: Verrucomicrobiota bacterium
Lineage: Bacteria; Pseudomonadati; Verrucomicrobiota
Description: Verrucomicrobia bacterium partial 16S ribosomal RNA
Rfam family: Bacterial small subunit ribosomal RNA
Source: RNAcentral